UACGUAGGGGGCAAGCGUUGUCCGGAAUCAUUGGGCGUAAAGCGCGCGUAGGCGGCCCGGUAAGUCCGCUGUAAAAGUCCAGGGCUUAACCCUGGAAAGCCGGUGGAUACUGUCGGGCUAGAGUCCGGAAGAGGCGAGUGGAAUUCCUGGUGUAGCGGUGGAAUGCGCAGAUAUCAGGAGGAACACCAGUGGCGAAGGCGGUUGCCUGGAGCUUUGCUGACGCUGAUGCGCGAAAGCGUGGGGAGCGAUCCGG
This 253-nucleotide ribosomal RNA is filed under the name uncultured bacterium. RNAcentral's name for it is "partial 16S ribosomal RNA". It matches the Rfam family "Bacterial small subunit ribosomal RNA", at positions 524 to 776 of the family's 1533-position model. The record is from RNAcentral.